This 484-nucleotide ribosomal RNA is filed under the name uncultured bacterium. RNAcentral describes it as "partial 16S ribosomal RNA". It matches the Rfam family "Bacterial small subunit ribosomal RNA", at positions 30 to 507 of the family's 1533-position model. The record is from RNAcentral.
AUUGAACGCUGGCGGAAUGCUUCACACAUGCAAGUCGAGCGGCAGCACGGGGGCAACCCUGGUGGCGAGCGGCGAACGGGUGAGUAAUACAUCGGAACAUGCCCAGUCGUGGGGGAUAACACUUCGAAAGAAGUGCUAAUACCGCAUACGUCCUGAGGGGGAAAGCGGGGGAUCGCAAGACCUCGCGCGAUUGGAGUGGCCGAUGUCAGAUUAGCUAGUUGGUGGGGUAAAGGCCUACCAAGGCAACGAUCUGUAGCUGGUCUGAGAGGAUGAUCAGCCACACUGGGACUGAGACACGGCCCAGACUCCUACGGGAGGCAGCAGUGGGGAAUUUUGGACAAUGGGGGCAACCCUGAUCCAGCCAUUCCGCGUGAGUGAAGAAGGCCUUCGGGUUGUAAAGCUCUUUCGGCAGGAACGAAACGGUGAGCUCUAACAUAGCUUGCUAAUGACGGUACCUGAAGAAGAAGCACCGGCUAACUACGUG